UUGUAACUCAGUUGGUAGAGCAUGAGACUCUUAAGCACAGGGUCAUGGGUUUGAGCCCCAUGUUGGGCAAAA
This is a non-coding RNA of Podarcis lilfordi (Lilford's wall lizard), 72 nucleotides long. The record is from the annotation of a GenBank genome assembly. NCBI's taxonomy places the organism in Eukaryota, Metazoa, Chordata, Lepidosauria, Squamata, Lacertidae.